Molecule: long non-coding RNA, 540 nt
Filed under: Ananas comosus (pineapple)
Lineage: Eukaryota; Viridiplantae; Streptophyta; Magnoliopsida; Poales; Bromeliaceae
Description: long non-coding RNA (ACOM_LNC037927)
Source: RNAcentral
AGCUAGCUGGGAUCUGUUCGUUCGUGUUCGCUCAUUUACUAUAUUAUCGGGUGUCAACUGGCCGAACUUGUACGAGCUGGGACCGGUUCGUGUUCGCUCAUUUUAUUAAACACGCCGAAUACGAGUUCGCUCGUUAAACUAUCAAGCAGUAGAUUAAAUUAUUAUUAUUAUUUUUUUUGAGAGAUAGAUAAUACGCUAUCCGUUUCGUUUAUUUUAUUUAGAAAUAAAUUUAGCUGGAAAUGUGAAUCAACUAAGAUUCGAACUUGGAAUUUCGGGUACCAACCACUAAGCCCUUUGUUACUUGCUCUAGGGACAGUCGGUCAGUAGAUUAGAUUGUUAGUUAUGCUACUAGAUGAAAAAUUGAAGGAAAAUUAGAAUUUAAUUUAACAAUUGAAAUACACAAAAUAUAAGUCUUCUUACAUUUGGAUUGACCUAAAAUCAAAAUAGUAAAAAUUUAUAAUAUAUAUUCAAGUAAUAUCGAGCUGAACACAAGGUGGCUCCUGAACAGGGAGUUGAAUUGCCAGCCCUACUCCAGACAAC